Molecule: long non-coding RNA, 173 nt
Organism: Gordionus sp. m RMFG-2023
Lineage: Eukaryota; Metazoa; Nematomorpha; Gordioida; Chordodea; Parachordodidae
Exons: 2
Source: RefSeq, a predicted model, not a curated record
CUAAUUCCUUCUAAUGCUAGACAUGUGCCCAAAUAUCAGCUUAUUAAAAAUAUAUCUGACUAUGUUGGCCCACCACAGUCAAUUACUAACUUAAGGCAGAUGAAAUUUAUAAUUCCUAAUAACGAAAAUGGAAUCAAAGAUAUUGGUAUAUUCACAAUACUACCUUUACAAUA